UCUGAGAGUAACUGUUCAGGUAUUGACGGUAUUUAACCAGAAAGCCACGGCUAACUACGUGCCAGCAGCCGCGGUAAUACGUAGGUGGCAAGCGUUGUCCGGAUUUAUUGGGCGUAAAGCGAGCGCAGGCGGUUUUUUAAGUCUGAUGUGAAAGCCUUCGGCUCAACCGAAGAAGUGCAUCGGAAACUGGGAAACUUGAGUGCAGAAGAGGACAGUGGAACUCCAUGUGUAGCGGUGAAAUGCGUAGAUAUAUGGAAGAACACCAGUGGCGAAGGCGGCUGUCUGGUCUGUAACUGACGCUGAGGCUCGAAAGUAUGGGUAGCAAACAGGAUUAGAUA
RNAcentral lists this ribosomal RNA (338 nucleotides) under Lactiplantibacillus plantarum. Its description in RNAcentral is "bacterial SSU rRNA". It matches the Rfam family "Bacterial small subunit ribosomal RNA", at positions 444 to 784 of the family's 1533-position model. The record is from RNAcentral. Lineage: Bacteria; Bacillati; Bacillota; Bacilli; Lactobacillales; Lactobacillaceae.